UCCUGCUUGUUUAUUAGAUGGAGUGUACAGCAGAACAAUAGAAGUAUGCCUAAACUGGGAUUGGUGCAGCGAUUGUAUGUGGUUUGAGAGGGGACUGUAUAAUUAUGUGUAGAUAGGAUUCUGUGUUAGGUCUAUAUGCGCAUCCCCAAAUGUACCCCUUGCCCCAUACCUCUUGUGCACUUGUGUAGAUUACUGUUUCACUAAUAGCUAUCCAGUUCUCCAUAAGUGCACUGGGACUACGGGGUUGAUUUGGGAAAGGAACACCCUUGUCAGGAUGUUCAGCAAAAUCACAUCUCUCUUUUCAUCAGCCCGUCAACCACACAGCACCUCUAACAGCCUGCUAAUCACAUUGCGGUUCUCUAGAAGUCAGCCAAUGACAUAGUGUCGAAGGUCAAUGACAGACCGUCAGAGGCUCCUACUGUCCUUGUGGCAGCCGCUACAUCAAAGAGACAGGUGACUGUGUGUCAAAGUGUGUGUGUGUGUGUGUGUGUGCACAUGCAUUUCUGUGAGACAGGCAUCAAAGAAAGAGUGUAAGUGUGAGAGACACAUUUUAAGAAAGUGUGUGUGUGUUCAAUUUUACUGCUCCCACCCCCAUUGAGGCCUAAACAGCAGGACAUGGAGACCAUUUAGGGGUCAAGUUAACCUUUUCACAUUCCAGUCAAAAGCAUCCAUACAAAAAUAUAGAGUAUACACUAAUAUAUAUACAGUACAUUGUCUCUUAUAAAUACAGUAUAACAGUUUAUCAAACAAACUCAAACCUGUGGGCAGACCACAGCAUUUCAUGGAAAAAAGAACAUAGCUGCAUAAAAGUACGAAAAACAACGGACGUUUUACAAGAGUAGCAACAUUAGUAAUGCCAUAUGUAAAGACAACAACAGGUGUGAUAGAAGUUAAACUGUUCAAAUACUGGAUUUUGUUCGUUUAAAUCCCCAGCUAUCGUUGGGACAUGAAUUGUUCUAAGAUAUCUCUUGCUACCUCUCCCCAUUCCCUAUCUUGGUUUCACAAUUCCAUCACCCCCUCCCUUUCUUUACAUUUUUUCCUCCCUCCAUUUAUCUGUCUGUUUUGAAUUGAGGCCUUUUUAGCAUGUUGAGUUGAGUUAGAGAACCUGUAUGGUCAGCUACUGUAGCAUUAGCACCAGAUGGGUAAACUACAAAGCAGGAUCAAUGAGUUAGCCUGCUAACUUAUAAACAAGCAGAAAUAACUACAGAUUUUCUGGUUAAUUAAGAAGGCUAAACUUAGAUUUGGGUUUUGGUUGUUGAGUCAAUUAGACCAUGCCCAUUUCAAGCUUAUCUUCCUAAAAAAGAAAAAGUUAUGUCAGAAUAUUCAGGUAAGUUAGCUAGCUAACUUGUUUAACUUGUGUUGUAUUAUACCCCUCAGAGCUCCGAAAGUCACAUAUAAUGCUGGGCAUUACCGUGAUCGCAACAUGUUCUUGGGAAGGAUUUGCUAACAGAAGUCAUACAGUAAAAAAAAGAAGCCAUAAAUAACAUAAUAAACACAAGCUAACAGCAUAAGCAGCAGGUAGUCUAGAGGUUAAGAGUGUUGGGCCAGUAACCGAAAGGUCGCUGGUGCAAAUCCACGAGCCGACUUGGUGAAAAAUCUGUCGAUGUGUCCUUGAGCAAGGCACUUAACCCUAAUGUCUCCUGUAAAUCGUUCUGGAUAAGAGCGUCUGCCAAAUGACAAAAAAAUGUAAAUGUAAAAAUAACAUGGAGAGCUCAGUGAGCAAGUGACUGUGCAGUUCCUGGGUACAUGACAAUAGUCUUAACGGUUUUCCUCUCCUUUGAACAUUAAACACACAUUUUGCUUUCACCUAUCCUGUCUUUUCAGAUCAGUGCAGAUGAAGGAAAGGAGGUGAGGAGAGGAAGCCCCUUGGGACUAGUGAUAUGCUAGCCUGGGUACCAGGACAGUCUGUUCUUUCCUUAGCCAGCUCUGCAGUUGACUAGGACUGAAGCAGAGUCAGACUGGCACCCAGGCUAGUGUGUAGCAUUAGGGUUGAAGGCUGUUUAAAGCACUAUAGCUGCUUUGCUGGUUUUGUUACGAUGCUGUGUAAGUCAGAUAGCAAAGCAGGAUAGUGUGUGUGUGUGUGUGUGUGUGUGUAGUUGGAGGUUAUUAAAUAGUAAAGGAUGUGGAUUAAUAAUGGAUCCUGACAGACCUAACACAGAAACCCCUCACUAUCCCUCCUUCGCUCCCUUUCUCUCUUCCUCCCUACGUAUCCCCCCUCAGAAUGAAUCUCUCGCUUGCUCUGUCUGUCUGCCUCUCUCUUAGGGUCCUCUGUCUUUCAGGGUCAUGUCAGGGGAGUAGAAAAGGACGUUGGUGUCAUCAUCAUCCUCGUCACUGAAGUCUCCCAGCUCAGCCUGCGUGUAGUGCACCGCCCCAGCAUGGUACUCCCUGAUACGCGUCCUGUCACACAGCCGAGACUGCAGCGCCAACUAGGAUCACACACAGAAACACAUAUUCACAGAGUUAACAGAGUCACACACACACACACACCACACACACACACACACACACACACACACACACACACACACAAAGAGACAGACACGCACACAUUUGGCAGAGCCGAGAUGUGUGCUGAUUGUAGUGCCACAGGCAGUUGAGCCGC
Molecule: long non-coding RNA, 2602 nt
Filed under: Salmo salar (Atlantic salmon)
Lineage: Eukaryota; Metazoa; Chordata; Actinopteri; Salmoniformes; Salmonidae
Description: lncRNA (ENSSSAG00000101939.1)
Source: RNAcentral